AUAUUAGAAAGAAUACCAAUUGCGAAGGCAGCUUUCUGGAUCAUUACUGACACUGAGGAACGAAAGCAUGGGUAGCGAAGAGGAUUAGAUACCCUCGUAGUCCAUGCCGUAAACGAUGUGUGUUAGACGUUGGAAAUUUAUUUUCAGUGUCGCAGCGAAAGCGAUAAACACACCGCCUGGGGAGUACGACCGCAAGGUUAAAACUCAAAUGAAUUGACGGGGACCCGCACAAGUAGUGGAGCAUGUGGUUUAAUUCGAAGAUACGCGCAGAACCUUACCAACACUUGACAUGUUCGUCGCGACUUUAAGAGAUUAAAGUUUUCGGUUCGGCCGGACGAAACACAGGUGCUGCAUGGCUGUCGUCAGCUCGUGUCGUGAGAUGUUGGGUUAAGUCCCGCAACGAGCGCAACCCUCACUUUUAGUUGCCAUCAUUUAGUUGGGCACUCUGAAAGAACUGCCAGUGAUAAGCUGGAGGAAGGUGGGGAUGACGUCAAGUCCUCAUGGCCCUUACGUGUUGGGCUACACACGUGCUACAAUGGUAUCUACAACAGGAAGCAAGACGGCGACGUUAAGCAAAUCCUUAAAAGAUACCUCAGUUCGGAUUGCACUCUGCAACUCGAGUGCAUGAAGCUGGAAUUACUAGUAAUCGUGGAUCAGCGUGCCACGGUGAAUGCGUUCCCGGGUCUUGUACACACCGCCCGUCACACCAUGGGAGUUGGUUCUACCUUAAGGCAAGGUUUUAAACCCUUGACCACGGUAUAGUCAGCGACUGGGGUGAAGUCGUAACAAGGUAGCCGUA
RNAcentral lists this ribosomal RNA (799 nucleotides) under uncultured bacterium. RNAcentral describes it as "bacterial SSU rRNA". It matches the Rfam family "Bacterial small subunit ribosomal RNA", at positions 694 to 1504 of the family's 1533-position model. The record is from RNAcentral.